CCUACGGGGUGCUGCAGUGAGGAAUAUUGGUCAAUGGCCGGAAGGCUGAACCAGCCAUGCCGCGUGAAGGUCAGUGCCCUAUGGGCGUUAAACUUCUUUUGUGCGGGAGCAAUAAUGGUCACGUGUGGCCAGACGAGAGUACCGUACGAAUAAGCAUCGGCUAACUCCGUGCCAGCAGCCGCGGUAAUACGGGGGAUGCAAGCGUUAUCCGGAUUUAUUGGGUUGAAAGGGUGCGUAGGCUGGGAAGUAAGUGAGCGGGUAAAUGCCCCGGCUUAACGGGGUGAAGUGCCAUUGAUACUGCCUUGCUGGAAUGCGGAUGCGGUGGGAGGAAUGUGUGGUGUAGCGGUGAAAUGCAUAGAUAUCACAAAGAACACCGAUUGCGAAGGCAUCUCACGAAUCCGCGAUUGACGCUGAUGCACGAAAGCGUGGGUAUCAAACAGGAUUAGAUACCCGGGUAGUC
Molecule: ribosomal RNA, 460 nt
Filed under: uncultured bacterium
Lineage: Bacteria
Description: partial 16S ribosomal RNA
Rfam family: Bacterial small subunit ribosomal RNA
Source: RNAcentral